Molecule: transfer RNA, 84 nt
Filed under: Gemmatimonadota bacterium
Lineage: Bacteria; Pseudomonadati; Gemmatimonadota
Description: tRNA-Leu
Rfam family: tRNA
About the family: Transfer RNA (tRNA) molecules are approximately 80 nucleotides in length. Their secondary structure includes four short double-helical elements and three loops (D, anti-codon, and T loops).
Source: RNAcentral
GCUCGGGUGGUGAAACUGGUAUACACGCAGCGCUCAGAACGCUGUGGUCGAAAGGCCGUGCGGGUUCGAGUCCCGCUCCGAGCA